Molecule: long non-coding RNA, 587 nt
Filed under: Citrus sinensis (sweet orange)
Lineage: Eukaryota; Viridiplantae; Streptophyta; Magnoliopsida; Sapindales; Rutaceae
Description: long non-coding RNA (CSIN_LNC005780)
Source: RNAcentral
GCUUGACAAAUGCAAGAACAAGGAAUUUAAACUUCAUCAACUCUUGACCCAUCAUGUUAAAUUGGAAGAGAUCGACAAGGCAAUUCAGCUGUUGAAGCAACCUGAUUGUGUCAAGGUCCUGAUCACGAUUUGAUAGGUUUUAUCCUAUGCUCUCCUUGUGUUAAAUUCGAGAUCAAAAUCUUAAGAUCUGCUCUUGAGAUCCCUUCUAUUUAUGUUCACUCCUAAUCUCAUCACCAAACCUCUAAUUUGUAAUAAAGAAAGAACGGAGUUUUUGCAGAUUUAGCUUAAGUUUGAACAUUGCACUUUUAAGUACAAAAUGUAAACAUUAAAAGGAACCUCAAACCAAUAUAAAAAACCAUGAACACAUCUGAGAUUUCUACACAUCUGAUUUUCAGGCAUUAUGCGAUUUGCAGUAAAUUGGAAAUUGUUAUGCAAAGUACAGUAGGUAUCUUUAGAACUUUGGAAACAAAUCCUUACAUGGUAGCUUCUACUUCAGGGUCAAUUUCCACUGGCACUUUAGGAGCACUAUUGCCACCUCUCAAACGUGAAGAUACAUUGUCAAUAGCAUUAUUAAGUUGGCUGAUUUU